RNAcentral lists this unclassified non-coding RNA (339 nucleotides) under soil metagenome. RNAcentral describes it as "partial contains 5.8S ribosomal RNA, internal transcribed spacer 2, and large subunit ribosomal RNA". The stretch from base 1 to 120 matches the Rfam family "5.8S ribosomal RNA", at positions 35 to 154 of the family's 154-position model. The record is from RNAcentral.
GAUGAAGAACGCAGCGAAAUGCGAUAAGUAAUGCGAAUUGCAGAAUUCCGUGAGUCAUCGAAUCUUUGAACGCACAUUGCACCUCUCGGUAUUCCGGGAGGUAUGCCUGUUCGAGCGUCAUUUGUACCCUCAAGCUCUGCUUGGUGUUGGGUGUUUGUUCCGCCUCUGUGUGUGAACUCGCCUCAAAACAAUUGGCAGCCGGCGUACUUGUUUCGGAGCGCAGCACAUUUUGCGAUCCAGAUCAACGUACAGCGGCAUCCAAGAAGCCUUAUUUAACGCUCUUGACCUCGGAUCAGGUAGGGAUACCCGCUGAACUUAAGCAUAUCAAUAAGCGGAGGA